RNAcentral lists this transfer RNA (65 nucleotides) under Atkinsoniella grahami. RNAcentral's name for it is "tRNA-Thr". Lineage: Eukaryota; Metazoa; Arthropoda; Insecta; Hemiptera; Cicadellidae. The record is from RNAcentral.
GUUUUAAUAAUUUAAAUAAAAAUAUUGGUUUUGUAAACCAAACUUAGAUCUUAAUCUUUAAAACA